Long non-coding RNA from Mauremys reevesii (Reeves's turtle), 241 nucleotides. RefSeq lists it as uncharacterized. The record is from RefSeq and is a predicted model, not a curated record. The transcript has 3 exons. Lineage: Eukaryota; Metazoa; Chordata; Testudines; Geoemydidae.
AAAGGAUCCUAAAGUUGGAAUUAUCAGGGCAGAUGAGGCAGUGAUCCAUCUUCUCUAAUUUGGUUCCUUCUCAUUUGUGCUGAAGAAGUGGAGAAGGGAAAGGCAGCAUCCAGCUGGAAGAGGAUGAUGGACUGUUCUCCAGAGACUGCUGAUCAGAGGAGUUGCCGGACCUGCCCUGCGCCCACUACCCCGAGGAACCCAUGGUGCUGGACCUCCCCAGAGGACAACACCCUGACCCAGG